This is a long non-coding RNA of Neofelis nebulosa (Clouded leopard), 1599 nucleotides long. RefSeq lists it as uncharacterized. The transcript is spliced from 2 exons. NCBI's taxonomy places the organism in Eukaryota, Metazoa, Chordata, Mammalia, Carnivora, Felidae. The record is from RefSeq and is a predicted model, not a curated record.
GUCCUUUCUUAGUCUGGCUUAUUUUCCUUAGCGUGAUGUCCUCAAGGCACGCUCGUGUUGGAGCACUGCUAGUGUUAGAAUUCCUUCUUUUUUAAGGUUGAAAAAUAUCCCAUUGAAUGGUUAGACCACAUUUUGUUUCUUCAACUCAUCCAUCGAUGGACGUCUGGCCGUUCCCACCUUUUGGCUAUUGUGAAUAAUGCCGUGAAGAACACGGCAUGUACAAAUAUCUGAGUUCCUUGUUUCAACUCUUGCGGUGACAUAUCCAGAAGUGGAAUUGAUGGGUCAUAUGGAGAGAGAGACAGCAUGUGAGCGGGGGAGGAGCAGAGAGAGAGAGAGAGAGAGAGAGAGAGAGAGAGAGACAGAAUCGGAUGCAGGCUCCGGGCUCUGAGCUGUCAGCACAGAGCCCGAUGCGGGGCUCAAACUCACAGACCGCGAUAUCAUGACCUGAGCCGAAGUCGGACGCUCAACCGACGGAGCCACCCAGGCGCCCCAACUUAAUUGUGAACACCGACGGGAAGUAGAUGAGAGGUUGCCUCGGGCUAGAGGGAAUGGGGGAGAAUGGAGAGUGACAGUUAAAGGAUAGAGGUUUCUUUCAGAGGGGAUGGUCGCACAAUUCUGUGAAUAUACUAAAAAACAAUGAACGGGAUGCUUUAAAUGGGUGAAUUGGGUAGUAUAUGAAUUAGAGCCCAAUAAAGCUGUUAUAAAAUAAACAACAACGGAAAAAAUGUAACUUAUUUCGGUUUCUGUAACGGAGGAUACACACUCAUAAAUGAUACUAAAUUGAGUCUUCCUAUGAACCCAAGGCAACAACAACAACAACGAAGGAUGGUUCUGCUUAGCGGAGAGGAACAGGAAUCCUCUCCCUCAAGAAGAUGGCUCAGUGCAUCGGCCUGCAACUUUACAAAUCAGACAGCAGCGCCCCACCCCAGAGCAUCUCGGUUGGCCAGUCUGGGGUGUGGCUGGGCUUAUGGAUUUUUUGAUGCUUCUGGGUGAUUCUUAUGGGCAGCAAUGUUGAACAUCACACGGCGACAGAGGAAUGAGCUGGCUGAUGUCCCGAUGUCCUGCAGCCCUGAUAAGCCAAGAUCUUCUAUGUGUGGCUAGGAGGAUAGGCUCCCAAGAACAAUGGUUUCCAAACUGUGUUCCUAGGAACCCUGAGGAUUUGCAGGAGAGACCAAAUGGGAACGUUCUGGGUCCUUCACCCCGUGUCCACCAGAGCAUACCUGCAUUUACUGCUUCAUCUCAGUGUUCAAGACAAGCCUUUGUUUUGUUUGUUUCGUUUUGUUUUAAAGCUAUCUCUGUGCUGGGGGCACCUGGCUGGCUCAGUUGGAAAAGCAUGAGACUCUUGAUCUCGGGGUUGUGAGUUAGAGCCCCACAUCGGGUAUAGAGAUUGCGUAAAAAUAAAACCUUUGGGGUGCCUGGGGGGCUCAGUUAAGUGUCCGACUCUUGAUUUCAGCUCAGGACAUGAUUUCACAGUUCAUCAGUUCCAGCCCUGCAUAUGGCUCUGUGCUGACAGCGUGGAACCUGUUUGGCAUUCUCUCUGUCUCUCCCUCUCUACCCCUUCCCCAUUUGCAUGCUUUCUCUCUGUCUCAGAAUAAAUAA